RNAcentral lists this ribosomal RNA (818 nucleotides) under fungal sp. BGX7. RNAcentral's name for it is "eukaryotic LSU rRNA". It matches the Rfam family "Eukaryotic large subunit ribosomal RNA", at positions 87 to 929 of the family's 3401-position model. Lineage: Eukaryota; Fungi. The record is from RNAcentral.
CGGCGAGUGAAGCGGCAACAGCUCAAAUUUGAAAUCUGGCUUUCGGGUCCGAGUUGUAAUUUGUAGAGGAUGCUUUUGGCGCGGUGCCUUCCGAGUUCCCUGGAACGGGACGCCGUAGAGGGUGAGAGCCCCGUACGGUUGGCCACCAAGCCUCUGUAAAGCUCCUUCGACGAGUCGAGUAGUUUGGGAAUGCUGCUCUAAAUGGGAGGUAAAUUUCUUCUAAAGCUAAAUAUUGGCCAGAGACCGAUAGCGCACAAGUAGAGUGAUCGAAAGAUGAAAAGCACUUUGAAAAGAGGGUUAAACAGCACGUGAAAUUGUUGAAAGGGAAGCGUUUGCGACCAGACCUUUUCCUGGCGGAUCAUCCGGUGUUCUCACCGGUGCACUUCGCCAGGUUGAGGCCAGCAUCGGUUUCCGCGGGGGGACAAAAGCUCGGGGAAUGUGGCUCCUCCGGGAGUGUUAUAGCCCCUUGCAUAAUACCCUCUUGGGGACCGAGGACCGCGCUUUGGCAAGGAUGCUGGCGUAAUGGUCGUCAACGACCCGUCUUGAAACACGGACCAAGGAGUCGAACAUUUGUGCGAGUGUUUGGGUGUUAAACCCUCACGCGUAAUGAAGGUGAACGUAGGUGAGAGCCUCCCCGCGGGGCGCAUCAUCGACCGAUCCUGAUGUCUUCGGAUGGAUUUGAGUAAGAGCAUAACUGUUCGGACCCGAAAGAUGGUGAACUAUGCGUGGAUAGGGUGAAGCCAGAGGAAACUCUGGUGGAGGCUCGCAGCGGUUCUGACGUGCAAAUCGAUCGUCAAAUCUGCGCAUGGGGGCGAAAG